GAUGAACGCUGGCGGCGUGCCUAAUACAUGCAAGUCGAGCGAACAGACGAGGAGCUUGCUCCUCUGACGUUAGCGGCGGACGGGUGAGUAACACGUGGAUAACCUACCUAUAAGACUGGGAUAACUUCGGGAAACCGGAGCUAAUACCGGAUAAUAUAUUGAACCGCAUGGUUCAAUAGUGAAAGACGGUUUUGCUGUCACUUAUAGAUGGAUCCGCGCCGCAUUAGCUAGUUGGUAAGGUAACGGCUUACCAAGGCAACGAUGCGUAGCCGACCUGAGAGGGUAAUAGGCCACACUAGAACUGAGACACGGUCCAGACUACUACGGGAGGCAGCAGUAGGGAAUCUUCCGCAAUGGGCGAAAGCCUGACGGAGCAACGCCGCGUGAGUGAUGAAGGUCUUCGGAUCGUAAAACUCUGUUAUUAGGGAAGAACAAAUGUGUAAGUAACUAUGCACGUCUUGACGGUACCUAAUCAGAAAGCCACGGCUAACUACGUG
This 497-nucleotide ribosomal RNA is filed under the name uncultured bacterium. Its description in RNAcentral is "partial 16S ribosomal RNA". It matches the Rfam family "Bacterial small subunit ribosomal RNA", at positions 28 to 507 of the family's 1533-position model. The record is from RNAcentral.